UACGUAGGGCGCAAGCGUUGUCCGGAAUUAUUGGGCGUAAAGAGCUCGUAGGCGGCCUGUCGCGUCUGCUGUGAAAUCCCGGGGCUUAACCCCGGGCGUGCAGUGGAUACGGGCUGGCUGGAGGCAGGCAGGGGAGAAUGGAAUUCCCGGUGUAGCGGUGAAAUGCGUAGAUAUCAAGAGGAACACCUGAGGUGAAGACGGGUUGCUGGGCCAACACUGACGCUGAUGCGCGAAAGCCAGGGGAGCAAACGGG
This 253-nucleotide ribosomal RNA is filed under the name uncultured bacterium. RNAcentral describes it as "partial 16S ribosomal RNA". It matches the Rfam family "Bacterial small subunit ribosomal RNA", at positions 524 to 776 of the family's 1533-position model. The record is from RNAcentral.